Anthonomus grandis grandis is the source of this 331-nucleotide long non-coding RNA. RefSeq lists it as uncharacterized. NCBI's taxonomy places the organism in Eukaryota, Metazoa, Arthropoda, Insecta, Coleoptera, Curculionidae. The record is from RefSeq and is a predicted model, not a curated record. The transcript is spliced from 3 exons.
UUUUUUACAGGCUGUCAAAGUCAAAUGUUGGAUUUUUCUCCAUUUUUUUGGACCUUUAGUACAAAAAAUCCUUAACUCCCUUAAAAAUUGUCCAAAUUUACCCAAAGUUCCACUAAAUUAUUAAGAAAACUUCAUAUUAAGUUUAUAAAGUUAUUUCAAGUUGAUACUUUAAUUGGAAAAUUUUUUACAGGCUGUCAAAGUUAAAUGUUGAAUUUUUCUCCACUUUUUUGGACCUUUAGUACAAAAAAUCCAUAACUCCCUUGAAAAUUGUCCAAAUUUACCCAAAGUUCCACUAAAUUAUUAAGAAAACUUCAUAUUAAGUUUAUAAAGU